RNAcentral lists this ribosomal RNA (164 nucleotides) under uncultured bacterium. RNAcentral describes it as "partial 16S ribosomal RNA". It matches the Rfam family "Bacterial small subunit ribosomal RNA", at positions 330 to 506 of the family's 1533-position model. The record is from RNAcentral.
UCGACGAUUCUACGGGAGGCAGCAGUGGGGAAUAUUGCACAAUGGGCGAAAGCCUGAUGCAGCGACGCCGCGUGAGGGAUGACGGCCUUCGGGUUGUAAACCUCUUUCAGCAGGGACGAAGCGCAAGUGACGGUACCUGCAGAAGAAGCACCGGCUAACUACGU